UACGGGGGGGGCAAGCGUUGUUCGGAAUUACUGGGCGUAAAGGGCUCGUAGGCGGCCAACUAAGUCAGACGUGAAAUCCCUCGGCUUAACCGGGGAACUGCGUCUGAUACUGGAUGGCUUGAGUUUGGGAGAGGGAUGCGGAAUUCCAGGUGUAGCGGUGAAAUGCGUAGAUAUCUGGAGGAACACCGGUGGCGAAGGCGGUCUGCUGGGCAGUUGCUGACACUGAGGCGCGACAGCGUGGGGAGCAAACAGG
Molecule: ribosomal RNA, 253 nt
Filed under: uncultured bacterium
Lineage: Bacteria
Description: partial 16S ribosomal RNA
Rfam family: Bacterial small subunit ribosomal RNA
Source: RNAcentral